AGCGAACGCUGGCGGCAGGCCUAACACAUGCAAGUCGAACGAACUCUUCGGAGUUAGUGGCGGACGGGUGAGUAACACGUGGGAACGUGCCUUUAGGUUCGGAAUAACUCAGGGAAACUUGAGCUAAUACCGGAUGUGCUCUUCGGGGGAAAGAUUUAUCGCCUUUAGAGCGGCCCGCGUCUGAUUAGCUAGUUGGUGAGGUAAAGGCUCACCAAGGCGACGAUCAGUAGCUGGUCUGAGAGGAUGAUCAGCCACAUUGGGACUGAGACACGGCCCAAACUCCUACGGGAGGCAGCAGUGGGGAAUCUUGCGCAGUGGGCGAAAGCCUGACGCAGCCAGGCCGGGUGAAUGAUGAAGGUCUUAGGAUUGUAAAAUUCUUUCACCGGGGACGAUAAUGACGGUACCCGGAGAAGAAGCCCCGGCUAACUUCGUG
RNAcentral lists this ribosomal RNA (433 nucleotides) under uncultured bacterium. RNAcentral describes it as "partial 16S ribosomal RNA". It matches the Rfam family "Bacterial small subunit ribosomal RNA", at positions 29 to 507 of the family's 1533-position model. The record is from RNAcentral.